GGACCAAAGCCCACCGUGCUGGAGAGGUGAGUUUCGUACACUUAAUUAAUAGGAUCGGCCGUUAAUAAAAGUAUGCCGAACUCGCAGGCGACGGAUGCGCGAUCACCA
Molecule: microRNA precursor, 108 nt
Filed under: Drosophila simulans
Lineage: Eukaryota; Metazoa; Arthropoda; Insecta; Diptera; Drosophilidae
Description: microRNA dsi-mir-1013 precursor
Rfam family: mir-1013 microRNA precursor family (bases 27-87)
Source: miRBase by way of RNAcentral